RNAcentral lists this ribosomal RNA (332 nucleotides) under uncultured bacterium. Its description in RNAcentral is "bacterial SSU rRNA". It matches the Rfam family "Bacterial small subunit ribosomal RNA", at positions 568 to 898 of the family's 1533-position model. The record is from RNAcentral.
CGUGUAGGCGGUCGGGUAAGUCAGAUGUGAAAGCCUUCCGCUUAACGGAAGAAGUGCAUUUGAAACUGCUCGGCUAGAGUACGGGAGAGGAGAGUGGAAUUCCCAGUGUAGAGGUGAAAUUCGUAGAUAUUGGGAGGAACACCAGUGGCGAAGGCGGCUCUCUGGUCCGAUACUGACGCUGAGACGCGAAAGCGUGGGGAGCAAACAGGAUUAGAUACCCUGGUGGUCCACGCCGUAAACGAUGGGCACUAGGUGUAGGAGGUAUUGACCCCUUCUGUGCCGAAGUUAACGCAUUAAGUGCCCCGCCUGGGGAGUACGGCCGCAAGGCUAAA